UGCGUAGGCGGCCUAAUAAGUCAGAGGUGAAAAGUCACAGCUUAACUGUGAAGGUGCCUUUGAUACUGUUUGGCUUGAAUAAGGUUGAGGUUGGCGGAAUGUGACAUGUAGCGGUGAAAUGCAUAGAUAUGUCAUAGAACACCAAUUGCGAAGGCAGCCAACUAGGCCUUCAUUGACGCUGAGGCACGAAAGCGUGGGUAGCGAACAGGAUUAGAUACCCUGGUAGUC
This 228-nucleotide ribosomal RNA is filed under the name uncultured bacterium. RNAcentral's name for it is "partial 16S ribosomal RNA". It matches the Rfam family "Bacterial small subunit ribosomal RNA", at positions 568 to 795 of the family's 1533-position model. The record is from RNAcentral.